Molecule: ribosomal RNA, 654 nt
Filed under: Triticum aestivum (bread wheat)
Lineage: Eukaryota; Viridiplantae; Streptophyta; Magnoliopsida; Poales; Poaceae
Description: partial small subunit ribosomal RNA
Source: RNAcentral
AUGGCGGCGAAGAUGCUCAAGCUCCGUAGCGCCGACGGCAAGGUGCUCGUCGCUCCGGCGUGGGACUAUCGCCCGACCGCCGCCCAAGCCCUCCCGCUGGAGAUGCGGGUGCCCUCGCGCGCCCUCGAGAGGGUGCUCCAGUACUGGACCAAGCACAGCCUGGCCAAGGCCACCGGUGAGUCCCGGGAGUCCCUCGCCCGCUGGGACACCGACUUCCAGCGCCGUCUCGAGGAAGACGGCCUCGCCAAGGAGGCCGCUGCAGCCGCCCAAGAACUCCGCCGCUACGGCGUUCACCAUGGAGGGCGUCCCCGUCGCCACACCGCCACGGGCGCAUCUGAUGUCGCUGCUCCAGCCACCGCCACCCGUGCUGAUCCCGUCCGUGACUGGUGCCAACUCGUUCACCACCUCAAGGGUGUCAACCACGGAGAACCUAGCCCGGCGCCGACGGCGUCCAUCGCUUUCCAUGCCUCCGAUAUUACCGUCGCCGCGCGCCCUGGGCCUGCCACCACCUUGCCGGCCGCUGCUGGUACUGAACCCGUUGGUGUCCGGUACGCCAUCCGUGCCCGUGACGCCAGAUGGCUGAAGACGAGGAGUCCGCUUGCCACCACCGCAAGCGCCCGACUUCCAAGGCUGCCAAUGCUGCUGCGCCCGUGA